GGAAUGUUACCUCCGUCCCAAAAAGCCUGUCUUAGAUUUGUCUAAUACACAUGUAUCUAACACUAAAACGUAUCUAGAUACAUCUGUAUCUAGACAAAUUUAAGAAAAGCUUUUUGGGAGGGAGGUAAUAGUAA
Molecule: non-coding RNA, 134 nt
Organism: Triticum aestivum (bread wheat)
Lineage: Eukaryota; Viridiplantae; Streptophyta; Magnoliopsida; Poales; Poaceae
Source: Rfam